UAAAACCCAAUCUUCAAUUAAAAGAAAAAAAAGGACGCACGCCGCCGCCGUUCGCCUCCUCUCACCGACCGCCGUUCGCCUCCUCUCACCUACACCACCGCCGUUAUUUUUGGAUGAGCCAACUCUUAAUCGAAGCCCGAAUCGUUCCCUCUUCUUCUCUUUAUUUUUCAUCUCCUCCGGUCUCGUCUUCAUUCUUUCCUCUCCAUCUCCUCCAGCUCGUCAUCCGCUACCUUAAAAACCCCACCCACAAAGCAAUGGCUGCCGCCUCCCAUGAGCCUCUACACCUCUGGUAGCAGAUGAGCUUCGUGGUCGACGUCGGCAUUUUUCUCUUCCAGAAAAUCUGAUAGCAGAUCGGCGUUUUUCUCUUCGUGGUUGCCUCUGGUAGCAGAUCGGCGAUUUUCCAUUGGGGUUUCUAACAGCCCUUUUCAGCGAUCUCCUCCUCGGCAACGAUUGAUCGGCCAAGCCUCCUAUGCUCGAUCUCCAAAGCCCCGACGCUUCUACGAUCCAGAUAUUUCUCCCAUUUGAUUUUGGACCCUGAUUCUCUAACCCUAAACUCUCAUUCUCUGCGAAAAUCCAGGGAUCCCAUAACUUAAGGACAUGCAUGGUAGAGGGGCCUUAUGCGCUUUGGGUUGUCGACUUAUGGACUCAUUUGUUUUGUUAUAGAUAAUUAGAUAAUGAGUUUGUUUACUUUUGAUUAGAGGCAAAUUGAUAGCUUAGAUGAAGAUUUGUAUAUUUUUUGAUAGAGACAUGGUCUCUUGGUGCUUUUGAUUGGAGACGUCAUCUCUUUGGAUGAAGAUAAUUUAAUUUUUGAAUUAUAAACUUUGUGUAUGGAUUCAUCUUGAUUAUGAAUUACAUAUGAGUUCAUGCUUUA
Molecule: non-coding RNA, 871 nt
Organism: Elaeis guineensis (African oil palm)
Lineage: Eukaryota; Viridiplantae; Streptophyta; Magnoliopsida; Arecales; Arecaceae
Source: RefSeq, a predicted model, not a curated record